GGCCUAACACAUGCAAGUCGAGCGGUAGAGAGAAGCUUGCUUCUCUUGAGAGCGGCGGACGGGUGAGUAAUGCCUAGGAAUCUGCCUGGUAGUGGGGGAUAACGUUCGGAAACGGACGCUAAUACCGCUUACGUCCUACGGGAGAAAGCAGGGGACCUUCGGGCCUUGCGCUAUCAGAUGAGCCUAGGUCGGAUUAGCUAGUUGGUGGGGUAAUGGCUCACCAAGGCGACGAUCCGUAACUGGUCUGAGAGGAUGAUCAGUCACACUGGAACUGAGACACGGUCCAGACUCCUACGGGAGGCAGCAGUGGGGAAUAUUGGACAAUGGGCGAAAGCCUGAUCCAGCCAUGCCGCGUGUGUGAAGAAGGUCUUCGGAUUGUAAAGCACUUUAAGUUGGGAGGAAGGGUUGUAGAUUAAUACUCUGCAAUUUUGACGUUACCCGACAGAAUAAGCACCGGCUAACUCUGUGCCAGCAGCCGCGGUAAUACAGAGGGUGCAAGCGUUAAUCGGAAUUACUGGGCCGUAAAGCGCGCGUAGGUGGUUAGUUAAGUUGGAUGUGAAA
RNAcentral lists this ribosomal RNA (561 nucleotides) under uncultured earthworm cast bacterium. Its description in RNAcentral is "bacterial SSU rRNA". It matches the Rfam family "Bacterial small subunit ribosomal RNA", at positions 45 to 599 of the family's 1533-position model. The record is from RNAcentral.